GGAGUUAGCCGGUGCUUCUUCUGUGAGUGAUGUCCUUCCUGCCGGCUAUUAACCCGCAGGCCUUCUUCCUCACUGAAAGUGCUUUACAACCCGAAGGCCUUCUUCACACACGCGGCAUGGCUGGAUCAGGGUUGCCCCCAUUGUCCAAUAUUCCCCACUGCUGCCUCCCGUAGGAGUCUGGGCCGUGUCUCAGUCCCAGUGUGGCUGAUCAUCCUCUCAGACCAGCUACGGAUCGUCGCCUUGGUUAGCCGUUACCUCACCAACCAGCUAAUCCGACAUAGGCUCAUCCGAUAGCGCGAGGCCCGAAGGUCCCCCGCUUUCCCCCGUAGGGCGUAUGCGGUAUUAGCCUGGGUUUCCCCAGGUUAUCCCCCACUACCGGGCAGAUUCCUAUGCAUUACUCACCCGUCCGCCGCUCGCCACCAGGGAGCAAGCUCCCCGUGCUGCCGCUCGACUUGCAUGUGUAGCGUCGCCGCCACGCGUCAUCUGAGCACGAAUACAACUACUGA
This 506-nucleotide ribosomal RNA is filed under the name uncultured bacterium. RNAcentral's name for it is "partial 16S ribosomal RNA". The record is from RNAcentral.